This 235-nucleotide unclassified non-coding RNA is filed under the name plant metagenome. RNAcentral describes it as "partial contains small subunit ribosomal RNA, internal transcribed spacer 1, and 5.8S ribosomal RNA". The record is from RNAcentral.
UUUCCGUAGGUGAACCUGCGGAAGGAUCAUUAAAGUUAUAGUCCCCCGGCCCCUCCGGGCUGGGGUCUUCUAUACCACCCUUUGUUUAUUACACCUUUGUUGCUUCGGCAAGCCUGCCCUCGGGCUGCUGGCUCCGGCCGGCUCGAGCCUGCCAGAGGACCUAAACUCUGUUUGUAUAUGAAGUCUGAGUACUAUAUAGUAGUUAAAACUUUCAACAGCGGAUCUCUUGGUUCUG